CUUUUCCGCCCUGCCCUGCUGAUACUCCAGGUACAUCAGCAAGACAGAAAUGGAGCCUGGAGCCAUAGCGGCUGCAUCAGCUGGAGCCAUGAGCAAGGAGGCUUUUGUCCUUGGAGCUGCUGAGGGUGCUGCCAAAGCAGUCGGCAUAAUCAUUUCCCCCGCUGCAAUUCCAUGGAUCUGUGGAACAGCUAUAGCGAUCACGGCUAUAGUUGCUAUCUAUAAAGCAUAUAAACACUCCAACCAUAAAUUGGAUUGAAGUGUGAAAAGACAUUUAAUCAAAUAAACUGGCUUACAGAAUUGGAAUGUACCAUAAUAAUUCACUGCAAAAUACAUAUUUCAAUAUAAUUUCAUGAAACAAAUAACAAAUAAAAAGCCAGAACCAC
Molecule: long non-coding RNA, 383 nt
Organism: Sphaerodactylus townsendi
Lineage: Eukaryota; Metazoa; Chordata; Lepidosauria; Squamata; Sphaerodactylidae
Exons: 3
Source: RefSeq, a predicted model, not a curated record